GGAGAGGUGCCCGGAGCGGCUGAUCGGGGACCGAAGGCCACGGAGUCCACGCAGGUUCGAAUCCUGCCCUCUCCG
RNAcentral lists this transfer RNA (75 nucleotides) under Streptomyces sp. SID5474. RNAcentral describes it as "tRNA-Ala". It matches the Rfam family "tRNA". Rfam says of the family: Transfer RNA (tRNA) molecules are approximately 80 nucleotides in length. Their secondary structure includes four short double-helical elements and three loops (D, anti-codon, and T loops). Lineage: Bacteria; Bacillati; Actinomycetota; Actinomycetes; Kitasatosporales; Streptomycetaceae. The record is from RNAcentral.